UACGUAGGGUGCAAGCGUUAAUCGGAAUUACUGGGCGUAAAGCGUGCGUAGGUGGUUCAGUAAGUUGGAAGUGAAAUCCCCGGGCUCAACCUGGGAAUUGCAUUUGAAACUGGGAAACUAGAGUGUGUGAGAGGGGGGUAGAAUUCCAAGUGUAGCGGUGAAAUGCGUAGAGAUUUGGAGGAAUACCAGUGGCGAAGGCGGCCCCCUGGCACAACACUGACGCUCAGGUGCGAAAGCGUGGGGAGCAAACAGG
Molecule: ribosomal RNA, 253 nt
Filed under: uncultured bacterium
Lineage: Bacteria
Description: partial 16S ribosomal RNA
Rfam family: Bacterial small subunit ribosomal RNA
Source: RNAcentral